AGAGACAGCAGUAGCCGCGGUAAUACGAAGGGUGCAAGCGUUACUCGGAAUUACUGGGCGUAAAGCGUGCGUAGGUGGUGGUUUAAGUCCGUUGUGAAAGCCCUGGGCUCAACCUGGGAAUUGCAGUGGAUACUGGGUCACUAGAGUGUGGUAGAGGAUAGUGGAAUUUCCGGUGUAGCAGUGAAAUGCGUAGAGAUCGGAAGGAACAUCUGUGGCGAAGGCGACUAUCUGGGCCAACACUGACACUGAGGCACGAAAGCGUGGGGAGCAAACAGGAUUAGAUACCCCCGUAGUCCCUGUCUCUUAUAC
This 309-nucleotide ribosomal RNA is filed under the name uncultured bacterium. RNAcentral's name for it is "partial 16S ribosomal RNA". It matches the Rfam family "Bacterial small subunit ribosomal RNA", at positions 504 to 807 of the family's 1533-position model. The record is from RNAcentral.